GAUGAACGCUAGCUACAGGCUUAACACAUGCAAGUCGAGGGGCAGCAUGGUCUUGGCUUGCUAAGGCCGAUGGCGACCGGCGCACGGGUGAGUAACACGUAUCCAACCUGCCGUCUACUCUUGGACAGCCUUCUGAAAAGGAAGAUUAAAUACAAGAUGGCAUCAUGAGUCCACAUGUUCACAUGAUUAAAGGUAUUCCGGUAGACGAUGGGGAUGCGUUCCAUUAGAUAGUAGGCGGGGUAACGCCCACCUAGUCUUCGAUGGAUAGGGGGUUCUGAGAGGAAGGUCCCCCACAUUGGAACUGAGACACGGUCCAAACUCCUACGGGAGGCAGCAGUGAGGAAUAUUGGGUCAGUGGACGAGAGUCUGAACCAGCCAAGUAGCGUGCAGGAUGACGGCCCUAU
RNAcentral lists this ribosomal RNA (404 nucleotides) under uncultured bacterium. Its description in RNAcentral is "bacterial SSU rRNA". It matches the Rfam family "Bacterial small subunit ribosomal RNA", at positions 28 to 420 of the family's 1533-position model. The record is from RNAcentral.